Molecule: ribosomal RNA, 496 nt
Filed under: uncultured bacterium
Lineage: Bacteria
Description: partial 16S ribosomal RNA
Rfam family: Bacterial small subunit ribosomal RNA
Source: RNAcentral
GAUGAACGCUGGCGGCGUGCCUAAUACAUGCAAGUCGAACGAAAGGGCGAGAAGCUUGCGUCUCUGAUGUUAGCCGCGGACGGGAGAGUAACACGUGUAUAACCUACCUAUCAUACUGAGAUAACUUCGGGAAACCGUAGCUUAUACCAGAUAAUAUUUUGAACCGUAUGGGUCGAAGGUGAAAGACGGUCUUGCGGGCACUUAUAGAUGGAUCCGGGCUGCAUUAGCUAGUUGGUACGGUAACGGCUUACCAAGGGAACGAUGCAUAGCCGACCUGAGAGCGUGUUCGGCGACAGUGGAGCUGAGACGCGGUACAGGCACCUACGGGAGGCAGCAGCAGGUACUGGAGCGCGAUGGGCGGAAUCCUGACGGAGCGACGGAGGCUGAGUGAUGCAGCUCUUCGGGUGGUAAAACGGUGUUAUUGGUGAAGACCACAUGUGUCUGUAACUGUGCGCGUCUGGACGGUAUCUAUACAGAAAGCCACGGCUAAUUACGU